UACGUAGGGGGCAAGCGUUGUCCGGAAUUAUUGGGCGUAAAGAGCGCGUAGGCGGUCCGAUAAGUCGUCUGUGAAAGUCAGGGGCUCAACCCUUGAAAGCCGGACGAUACUGUCGGACUAGAGUCCGGAAGAGGCAAGUGGAAUUCCCGGUGUAGCGGUGAAAUGCGCAGAUAUCAGGAAGAACACCCGUGGCUAAGGCGGCUCUCUAGUACGUGACUGACGCUGAGACGCGAAAGCGUGGGGAGCGAACAGG
This 253-nucleotide ribosomal RNA is filed under the name uncultured bacterium. RNAcentral describes it as "partial 16S ribosomal RNA". It matches the Rfam family "Bacterial small subunit ribosomal RNA", at positions 524 to 776 of the family's 1533-position model. The record is from RNAcentral.